AGAUUGAACGCUGGCGGCAGGCCUAACACAUGCAAGUCGAGCGGAUGAAGAGAGCUUGCUCUCUGAUUCAGCGGCGGACGGGUGAGUAAUGCCUAGGAAUCUGCCUGGUAGUGGGGGACAACGUCUCGAAAGGGACGCUAAUACCGCAUACGUCCUACGGGAGAAAGCAGGGGACCUUCGGGCCUUGCGCUAUCAGAUGAGCCUAGGUCGGAUUAGCUAGUUGGUGAGGUAAUGGCUCACCAAGGCGACGAUCCGUAACUGGUCUGAGAGGAUGAUCAGUCACACUGGAACUGAGACACGGUCCAGACUCCUACGGGAGGCAGCAGUGGGGAAUAUUGGACAAUGGGCGAAAGCCUGAUCCAGCCAUGCCGCGUGUGUGAAGAAGGUCUUCGGAUUGUAAAGCACUUUAAGUUGGGAGGAAGGGUUGUAGAUUAAUACUCUGCAAUUUUGACGUUACCGACAGAAUAAGCACCGGCUAACUCUGUGCCAGCAGCCGCGGUAAUACAGAGGGUGCAAGCGUUAAUCGGAAUUACUGGGCGUAAAGCGCGCGUAGGUGGUUUGUUAAGUUGGAUGUGAAAGCCCCGGGCUCAACCUGGGAACUGCAUUCAAAACUGACAAGCUAGAGUAUGGUAGAGGGUGGUGGAAUUUCCUGUGUAGCGGUGAAAUGCGUAGAUAUAGGAAGGAACACCAGUGGCGAAGGCGACCACCUGGACUGAUACUGACACUGAGGUGCGAAAGCGUGGGGAGCAAACAGGAUUAGAUACCCUGGUAGUCCACGCCGUAAACGAUGUCAACUAGCCGUUGGGAGCCUUGAGCUCUUAGUGGCGCAGCUAACGCAAAAGUGAACCCAAGGACGCGCAGGAAAACUAGU
This 871-nucleotide ribosomal RNA is filed under the name Pseudomonas umsongensis. RNAcentral describes it as "bacterial SSU rRNA". It matches the Rfam family "Bacterial small subunit ribosomal RNA", at positions 26 to 873 of the family's 1533-position model. Lineage: Bacteria; Pseudomonadati; Pseudomonadota; Gammaproteobacteria; Pseudomonadales; Pseudomonadaceae. The record is from RNAcentral.